RNAcentral lists this transfer RNA (68 nucleotides) under Craugastor mexicanus (Mexican robber frog). RNAcentral describes it as "tRNA-Trp". Lineage: Eukaryota; Metazoa; Chordata; Amphibia; Anura; Craugastoridae. The record is from RNAcentral.
AGAAGCUUAGGAUAAAAAAACCAUGAGCCUUCAAAGCUCCAAAUAGAAGUUAGCCCUUCUAGCUCCUG